Molecule: long non-coding RNA, 760 nt
Filed under: Olea europaea (common olive)
Lineage: Eukaryota; Viridiplantae; Streptophyta; Magnoliopsida; Lamiales; Oleaceae
Description: long non-coding RNA (OEUR_LNC008972)
Source: RNAcentral
UUUUAUACUCUUCACUACUUAGGUAACAUGUUGAGGUUAUCAAUUAUUUCCUAAUUUGACUAUAUUAUGACAUUUUCUCCACCUUUUUCAGUCUACAAAUGAAGAAUUAGUUGGACAUAUUGAAUUGUUUAUGAGGAUGCAUUCCACAUCAAAAGGAUGGGAUAACCAACUAGCCGAUAUGUAAGAUAUAUAAUUUAUUACACAAAGAUCUUAACAUUAAUAUUAUUUAUUUUAACAACAUUUUUCUAUUGUAUGAUAGAAAGAAAUGGUGGAAUUACAACAAUCAUGAGCAGAGCUUGAAGAUGAAGCAUCUAUAAUGGAUAAAGCAGAAAUAUGUGCUCAAGUCCUUGGUAAGAGUGCUGGGACUAUUUCUAGGAUUGGACCCACUCCACGCAAAUCAUACAACAACGCAGUUACGGCUCCCCCUAAAUUGAUGCAACAAUUGAAAAUUCUUACAAAACGAGAUAAAGAGAAGGAUAAAGCUAUUUGUGAGCUUACACAAAGUUUUGAACAACAAACAUUACUUAUCUAGAACCUUGUUAUAUGAAUGGAUAUAAGUCAGCAUCCUCCAACAGGACCAACAAUGAUCCACCUCCACCACCGUCAUAGUUGGUGCUGUAGUACUAUGAUUACAUUAUUGAAGUUACAAUUUAUCUUUUUGUGGUCAAAUAUUAGACAUUUAUUUAUGAUUAUACAUUGACUAUUAGUAGUUAUCUAUCCAAUACAAUUUUCUUUUGUAGCGGCAUAUUUUUUGUUAAAU